UGGUGGUCUACCAAUAUCAAUUGUUUGUGAAUAGGUUAUUUGUUUCGCUCAUGGUUUUUAGUUGACAUUUUAGAGGUUUUCUAGGUUUGAUAGAGUAUGUAAAUAAAUACGUGUAGAGUUUUAUUAAGUGUCAAUUUAUUGAUCUGUAGUGGACCUUCAGUUUUUUUUUGUUAGUUUUUGACAAAGGGUUUACUGAUAUUUAUUUCUUGAUACGUGUAUGAUUCGCACGAUGAGGCCAACAUCAUGUAGGCCUACGUAUACGCAUACUUAGCGAUAUAGAUGGAC
Molecule: long non-coding RNA, 285 nt
Organism: Arabidopsis thaliana (thale cress)
Lineage: Eukaryota; Viridiplantae; Streptophyta; Magnoliopsida; Brassicales; Brassicaceae
Product: other RNA
Exons: 1
Source: RefSeq